GCUGCUCAUGUGAAGUUUAUUCCUCUUUCCUAGCCCGGUUCCAGCAAAGCACAGGUGUCCUUCCCGGCUAGCGUGGCGGCAGCGUGACGGCACUGUGUGUGUGUGUGUGUGUGUGUGUGUGUGUGUGUGUGAGUGUGAGUGUGUGAGAGAGAGGGAGGGGGAGGGGGAGGGAGAGCGAGAGCGAGAGCGAGAGCGAGAGCUGGGAGGGGACAGGAAGAGAACCGCAUUGCCGGUGUGGCCAGGAAAGCCGGAUGUUAAAUGCAUCUGGGCUGACAAGAUACGGGCGGCAAGGGGCCCCCAGCACCUGCAGGAAAAGUGCCAAGCAGGGUAGGCACUGGGAGCCACAGGCUGUGAUGGGAGCUGGGCUUCUGCACGGAUAACAGCCUGCGGGGGGCAGGAUGGAGGCACGGAAACCCGCUGGAGACCCUUGUGAUGUCCAGGGGACAGAGGUGGGCUCCUGGCCAGGAGCAGCGUGGGCUGGUGGAGGGGUCAGUCUGCAUGAAGGCCAAGGACACACACACGUGCCAUAAAAAUAGUGCGGCAACUUCUAAAAGCACCCAGCCGCCCUGGCCCGCUGCUCCGUGCUUAGAGCCUCAGCCCUCAAACCAAAGGGUUGUGAGUUCGAUCCUCUGGCCUCGGUCUGGCUGCUACCUGAGAGAGCAUGAGGGCAGGGGAAAGUGUGGCCACCAGCUCUGACUGUAGGACACGAGGACAUCGGCCGGGCGUCACCUCGCGGCCGUAAGGAGAGCUGGGGGGCUGUAAGCAGACCCUGGAGAGGCCACGGUUAGGAAAGGACCGCCGGGUGCCGCACAGACGCCGGAAGCCGUUUCUGUGGAGCUGGGGUUCAUUCGCAGGGAGGGAGAGAGGAAGGGAAGGAGGGACGCCUGGGGGGCGGGGGUGUCUGCCGAAGUUCCGAUCCUGACCCGGGUGAGGGUACUGGCGUAUCCGUAAGUCAAUGAGUGAUGUGUUUGUUUUGUGUCAUUUUCUGUGUUUCUAUGGUAAAAGAUAAAAAUAAACGAUCAUGUCAAACACUUUUUAAAAGGUGCACAGUGCUUUUAUUGAGAAAUGCCGAAGACAUUUUAAAACUUGCACGCCUUGAUCUUCAGAGCUGUAACUGCCCCGUGUGGCUCGAUGGUCUGAGCUUCACCCUGUUCACUGAAAGGCCGCAGGUUCAGUUCCCAACCCGGGCACACACCCAGGUUACGGGUUCCAACUCCGGGGGCGGGGGGUGGGUGUAUGGGAGGCAACCAAGUGAUGUUUCUCUCUCCCUCACCCUCUCUAAAACCAAUAAAACACAUU
Long non-coding RNA from Pipistrellus kuhlii (Kuhl's pipistrelle), 1299 nucleotides. RefSeq lists it as uncharacterized. The record is from RefSeq and is a predicted model, not a curated record. The transcript is spliced from 3 exons. Lineage: Eukaryota; Metazoa; Chordata; Mammalia; Chiroptera; Vespertilionidae.